CUAGACCGCUUUUUCGAUUAAACCCGAUUUGACUGAAAUUAAUCAAUCAGACCGAUUUGGGUUUAGCGAUUUUGAUCUGCUGCGCUUUUUUUGCGGCUCUGGUUCGCCGGUUUCGUCUCCUUUCUUGUCUGGUUUGCGAUCUUCGGUGUCUCCCUCCCUGUCUGUGCUCUGCUCUCUUUCAGCGGAAUCUCUCUCAACCGAUAUCCUCCUCUCAAUCACUCUAUAUUAGUUAUCUCUGUUACUGGACGUAAGGUGUUACGUGAUGCUAUUAGUUGGACAACAGAGAGAAUGCCUUGAAUGAACCACUGAGAAAUGAAGUUUUGGGGAGGCUUUUUAGUGAUCAUUGGUUCCAUUUCCUUUGUUGGAUUUGUGUUUGCAGCUAUAGUCUCCAAGUUGUUUCCACUCUCUGACAAUCCCGUUAUCAAAGCUAUUCAGAAUGACAGGUACUACUGCUUCUUGGCUCCACUGACUUUACCAGCUCUACUGGUUGCUGUUUACUUUCAUUGGCUUAGCAUGAAGCUCUUCAAGCACGCAUGAUACAUAUCGCGUAGCAAAAACAUCUUUCUCCAAGGUAAGGUUCUUUCUGCAGGUGUAUAUGAUGUCUUUGCAGAGGGAACAAUAACAUCUGGUCCGAAGCAUUCUUCUGAGGCUGUCCGAUCACAGUUGUUUUGUCACAUCUCAUGGUUGGAAGGAAUUGUGGAUUUUCUGGAGAUGAGUUUUGUGUAGAAUGGUUAUAAGCACGGUUCGAUUACUACUACAUUGUUGCAGACUCCGAAAGAUUCAAUAUUGUAACCCGGGAUAAUUUGUGUGCUAUACUUGCUAUUAUUAUCUGUCUUUAGAAAGCAGAUUGUAACCAACUUAUGUAAUCACAUAUUCAUGUUAUAAAGUCACUUUCACAUUGCCAUCAAA
This is a long non-coding RNA of Camelina sativa (false flax), 909 nucleotides long. RefSeq lists it as uncharacterized. The record is from RefSeq and is a predicted model, not a curated record. Lineage: Eukaryota; Viridiplantae; Streptophyta; Magnoliopsida; Brassicales; Brassicaceae.